Long non-coding RNA from Tupaia belangeri chinensis (Chinese tree shrew), 519 nucleotides. RefSeq lists it as uncharacterized. The transcript is spliced from 4 exons. Lineage: Eukaryota; Metazoa; Chordata; Mammalia; Scandentia; Tupaiidae. The record is from RefSeq and is a predicted model, not a curated record.
CCUUACUCUUCGUGUCACAAAAGAGACCUGUGAAAUCUGAGACUUCAGAAUGAGGAAGUCCAAUGCAAAUGAUGCAAAAUGAAGCAAAUCUUCUAAUUUAGGUCUAGGUGGCUGCCAUAGCAGAGCAGGAUUUAUGAAAAUGCACAAAGAGUUACACAAUCACUGCUGAAGUUAUCUUAAGACAAAAUUGCCUCCUUCUAAGCCCUCAUCAGACCUUCUCCCAAGCCUGUAGAAGUGUUUGACCUGCUCCUUUCACUCUGAGUCUAGUCCCCAGUGCCUCAUACAGCAAGACUUGUAUGGACAACUGACAACAAAGAUGGAAACUAAAACUGGAGACUACAUAAGAAGCAUGGUCUUCCAUACAGUGGAAUUUUACACUUCUAAGUAGAGGUAGAGAUAAAACGACAGUAGCUAUCACUGCCAAAGGCUACUGACUAGUGAUAAAAGCCUGGCUUCACAUAUAAUCUGAGCAGAUGGAACCUAGCACUUCAGUUCCUGCUGUCUAGAUGAAUCCCCAGG